UGUGGCCUAUAUUUUAUGCAAGCCACAGCUACUAAACUAUGAGUCAAACUUAAUAAUAUUGUAGCCUACAAUAUUAGCCCUAGAUAAGAGCU
RNAcentral lists this ribosomal RNA (92 nucleotides) under Anaxyrus cognatus (Great Plains toad). RNAcentral describes it as "partial 16S large ribosomal RNA". Lineage: Eukaryota; Metazoa; Chordata; Amphibia; Anura; Bufonidae. The record is from RNAcentral.